This 497-nucleotide ribosomal RNA is filed under the name uncultured bacterium. RNAcentral describes it as "partial 16S ribosomal RNA". It matches the Rfam family "Bacterial small subunit ribosomal RNA", at positions 28 to 507 of the family's 1533-position model. The record is from RNAcentral.
GAUGAACGCUGGCGGCGUGCCUAAUACAUGCAAGUCGAGCGAAAGGACGAGACGCUUGCUUCUCUGAUGUUAGCGGCGGACGGGUGAGUAACACGUGGAUAACCUACCUAUAUGACUGGGAUAACUUCGGGAAACCGGAGCUAAUACCGGAUGAUAUUUUGAACCGCAUGGUUCAAAAGUGAAAGACGGUCUUGCGGUCACUUAUAGAUGGAUCCGCGCUGCAUUAGCUAGUUGGUAAGGUAACGGCUUACCAAGGCAACGAUGCAUGGCCGACCUGAGAGGGUGGUCGGCCACACUGGAACUGAGGCACGGUCCAGACUCCUACGGGAGGCAGCAGUAGGGAAUCUUCCGCAAUGGGCGAAAUCCUGACGUAGCAACGCGGCUUGAGUGAUGAAGGUCUGCGGAUCGUGAAACUCUGUUAGUUGUGAAGAACAUAUGUGUAAGUAGCUGUGCACAUCGUGACGGUACCUAAUCAGAAAGCCCCGGCUAACUACGUG